UGGGGCGGCUAAUACAUGCAGUCGACGCUUUGUGGUUCAACUGAUUUGAAGAGCUUGCUCAGAUAUGACGAUGGACAUUGCAAAGAGUGGCGAACGGGUGAGUAACACGUGGGAAACCUACCUCUUAGCAGGGGAUAACAUUUGGAAACAGAUGCUAAUACCGUAUAACAAUGACAACCGCAUGGUUGUUAUUUAAAAGAUGGUUCUGCUAUCACUAAGAGAUGGUCCCGCGGUGCAUUAGCUAGUUGGUAAGGUAAUGGCUUACCAAGGCGAUGAUGCAUAGCCGAGUUGAGAGACUGAUCGGCCACAAUGGGACUGAGACACGGCCCAUACUCCUACGGGAGGCAGCAGUAGGGAAUCUUCCACAAUGGGCGAAAGCCUGAUGGAGCAACGCCGCGUGUGUGAUGAAGGGUUUCGGCUCGUAAAACACUGUUGUAAGAGAAGAAUGACAUUGAGAGUAACUGUUCAAUGUGUGACGGUAUCUUACCAGAAAGGAACGGCUAAAUACGUGCCAGCAGCCGCGGUAAUACGUAUGUUCCAAGCGUUAUCCGGAUUUAUUGGGCGUAAAGCGAGCGCAGACGGUUAUUUAAGUCUGAAGUGAAAGCCCUCAGCUCAACUGAGGAAUUGCUUUGGAAACUGGAUGACUUGAGUGCAGUAGAGGAAAGUGGAACUCCAUGUGUAGCGGUGAAAUGCGUAGAUAUAUGGAAGAACACCAGUGGCGAAGGCGGCUUUCUGGACUGUAACUGACGUUGAGGCUCGAAAGUGUGGGUAGCAAACAGGAUUAGAUACCCUGGUAGUCCACACCGUAAACGAUGAGUGCUAGGUGUUUGAGGGUUUCCGCCCUUAAGUGCCGCAGCUAACGCAUUAAGCACUCCGCCUGGGGAGUACGACCGCAAGGUUGAAACUCAAAGGAAUUGACGGGGACCCGCACAAGCGGUGGAGCAUGUGGUUUAAUUCGAAGCAACGCGAAGAACCUUACCAGGUCUUGACAUCCCUUGACAACUCCAGAGAUGGAGCGUUCCCUUCGGGGACAAGGUGACAGGUGGUGCAUGGUUGUCGUCAGCUCGUGUCGUGAGAUGUUGGGUUAAGUCCCGCAACGAGCGCAACCCUUAUUACUAGUUGCCAGCAUUCAGUUGGGCACUCUAGUGAGACUGCCGGUGACAAACCGGAGGAAGGUGGGGAUGACGUCAAAUCAUCAUGCCCCUUAUGACCUGGGCUACACACGUGCUACAAUGGCGUAUACAACGAGUUGCCAACCCGCGAGGGUGAGCUAAUCUCUUAAAGUACGUCUCAGUUCGGAUUGUAGGCUGCAACUCGCCUACAUGAAGUCGGAAUCGCUAGUAAUCGCGGAUCAGCACGCCGCGGUGAAUACGUUCCCGGGUCUUGUACACACCGCCCGUCACACCAUGAGAGUUUGUAACACCCAAAGCCGGUGGGGUAACCUUCGGGAGCCAGCCGUCUAAGGGAACAAA
Molecule: ribosomal RNA, 1472 nt
Filed under: Weissella confusa
Lineage: Bacteria; Bacillati; Bacillota; Bacilli; Lactobacillales; Lactobacillaceae
Description: bacterial SSU rRNA
Rfam family: Bacterial small subunit ribosomal RNA
Source: RNAcentral